AGAGUUUGAUCCUGGCUCAGGACGAACGCUGGCGGCGCGCUUAACACAUGCAAGUCGAGCGAGAACCAAGACCUUCGGGUCUUGGGGACAGCGGCGAACGGGUGAGUAACACGUGAGUAAUCCACCCUUGGUACCGGGAUAGCUCGGGGAAACCCGAAUUAAUACCGGAUAGCCCAUUGGCCUCUUGGGGCGAAUGGAAAAGGUAGCUUCGGCCUCCGACCAAGGACGAGCUCGCGGCGGAUUAGCUUGUUGGUGGGGUAAUGGCCCACCAAGGCGACGAUCCGUAGCUGGUCUGAGAGGACGAUCAGCCACACUGGGACUGAGACACGGCCCAGACUCCUACGGGAGGCAGCAGUGGGGAAUCUUGCGCAAUGGGCGAAAGCCUGACGCAGCGACGCCGCGUGAGGGAAGAAGGCCUUCGGGUUGUAAACCUCUUUCAGAAGGGACGAAGCCACUCGGGUUAAUAGCCCAGAGGGUGACGGUACCUUCAGAAGAAGCCCCGGCUAACUACGUGCCAGCAGCCGCGGUAAUACGUAGGGGGCAAGCGUUGUCCGGAUUUAUUGGGCGUAAAGAGCGUGUAGGCGGUUUUACAGGUCCGCUGUGAAAACUCGAGGCUCAACCUCGAGCUGUCGGUGGAAACCGUAAGGCUAGAGUCCGGAAGAGGAGAGUGGAAUUCCUGGUGUAGCGGUGAAAUGCGCAGAUAUCAGGAAGAACACCCGUGGCGAAGGCGGCUCUCUGGGACGGUACUGACGCUGAGACGCGAAAGCGUGGGGAGCGAACAGGAUUAGAUACCCCGGUAGUCC
RNAcentral lists this ribosomal RNA (803 nucleotides) under uncultured bacterium. RNAcentral describes it as "bacterial SSU rRNA". It matches the Rfam family "Bacterial small subunit ribosomal RNA", at positions 8 to 796 of the family's 1533-position model. The record is from RNAcentral.